CUCCACGUGGCGCAGCCGGACAGCGCACCUGGCUACGAACCAGGGGGCCGGAGGUUCGAAUCCUCCCGUGGAGG
Molecule: transfer RNA, 74 nt
Filed under: Actinomycetes bacterium
Lineage: Bacteria; Bacillati; Actinomycetota; Actinomycetes
Also listed under: 1 other name
Description: Actinobacteria bacterium (soil metagenome) tRNA-Arg
Rfam family: tRNA
About the family: Transfer RNA (tRNA) molecules are approximately 80 nucleotides in length. Their secondary structure includes four short double-helical elements and three loops (D, anti-codon, and T loops). Further hydrogen bonds mediate the characteristic L-shaped molecular structure. tRNAs have two regions of fundamental functional importance: the anti-codon, which is responsible for specific mRNA codon recognition, and the 3' end, to which the tRNAs corresponding amino acid is attached (by aminoacyl-tRNA synthetases). tRNAs cope with the degeneracy of the genetic code in two manners: having more than one tRNA (with a specific anti-codon) for a particular amino acid; and 'wobble' base-pairing, i.e. permitting non-standard base-pairing at the 3rd anti-codon position.
Source: RNAcentral